CGUUCAAACACUGGUUCUCCUAUGAUUACUGAAGUUAAGCAACAUCAAGCCUGGUUAGUACUUAGAUGGAUGACUGCUUGGGAAUACCAAGGG
Molecule: non-coding RNA, 93 nt
Organism: Acanthosepion pharaonis
Lineage: Eukaryota; Metazoa; Mollusca; Cephalopoda; Sepiida; Sepiidae
Source: the annotation of a GenBank genome assembly